This 75-nucleotide transfer RNA is filed under the name Candidatus Zambryskibacteria bacterium RIFCSPHIGHO2_01_FULL_39_63. RNAcentral describes it as "tRNA-Thr". It matches the Rfam family "tRNA". From Rfam's summary of the family: Transfer RNA (tRNA) molecules are approximately 80 nucleotides in length. Their secondary structure includes four short double-helical elements and three loops (D, anti-codon, and T loops). Lineage: Bacteria; Candidatus Zambryskiibacteriota. RNAcentral also lists the same sequence under 3 other names. The record is from RNAcentral.
GCCGGGGUAGUUCAGUGGUAGAACGCCGUCUUGGUAAGACGGAGGUCGAGAGUCCGAUUCUCUCCCCCGGCUCUA